RNAcentral lists this ribosomal RNA (455 nucleotides) under uncultured bacterium. Its description in RNAcentral is "bacterial SSU rRNA". It matches the Rfam family "Bacterial small subunit ribosomal RNA", at positions 106 to 575 of the family's 1533-position model. The record is from RNAcentral.
GUGAGUAACACGUGGGUGAUCUGCCCUGCACUUCGGGAUAAGCCUGGGAAACUGGGUCUAAUACCGGAUAUGACCUCCUAUCGCAUGGUGGGUGGUGGAAAGAUUUAUCGGUGCAGGAUGGGCCCGCGGCCUAUCAGCUUGUUGGUGGGGUAAUGGCCUACCAAGGCGACGACGGGUAGCCGACCUGAGAGGGUGACCGGCCACACUGGGACUGAGACACGGCCCAGACUCCUACGGGAGGCAGCAGUGGGGAAUAUUGCACAAUGGGCGAAAGCCUGAUGCAGCGACGCCGCGUGAGGGAUGACGGCCUUCGGGUUGUAAACCUCUUUCAGCAGGGACGAAGCGCAAGUGACGGUACCUGCAGAAGAAGCACCGGCUAACUACGUGCCAGCAGCCGCGGUAAUACGUAGGGUGCAAGCGUUGUCCGGAAUUACUGGGCGUAAAGCGUGCGUAGG